Molecule: non-coding RNA, 1242 nt
Organism: Macaca mulatta (Rhesus monkey)
Lineage: Eukaryota; Metazoa; Chordata; Mammalia; Primates; Cercopithecidae
Source: RefSeq, a predicted model, not a curated record
CUCAGCCUCGGCCUCUCAAAGUGCUGGGAUUACAGGUGUGAGCCACCACGCCUGGCCAGCGGAGUCAGGAUUUGAAUCCCUGGAUCCGAUAUCAGCAGGAUUUCCGUGUCUUACCUGUCAGCGCCAACAUCCCUCUGACCGCCCCGACCCUCCAUCAUUCCCAGCCAUCCCCAUGAGGCUGGAACCUGAGCAGGAUAAAAACGAUCUGGAGACUUCUAGUGUAGCCUUCCAGUGGAGCAAUGAGCUUGAACACGGGCGGCAGCACAAAGUUGACCCCAGCGAUGAAGAUGGACGGAAGGUUCCAGGACCCCCGGCUUCCUCUUCCAAGACCCUCCGCACCUGCAGCGCCACGGUGUUCUCUGUAGCCCAGUAGAUGCCAUAGAAGGCUCCCCCAAGGAGUGCGAUCACCAGCAGGUUGAGCAGCACCCGCACCAACCAAACCCUGGCUUCCUGGCCCAGAGUCCGCACAGCAGCCUGGCGCCGCACCACUGUCUCCUCCAGCUCCACCUGAAGGCACGAGAGAUGCCCGCUUGGACUCCAUUUCCCAAGGCGCUGGCCUCUGGGUUCCCCAGGCUCUCCAGAGAUCCUCCUCAACGUGAACUGAUGCAGCCUUCUCCCCACCAGCUAACAACCUCUGCAGUCCCGGUUCCACCCGCUCCGGGGCGCUCUAAGAAACCAGUGGCCCUUUACAGCCCUGCCCCUCCGCGGCCGGAUCCAGCAACCCAAGCCCCCAUCCCUGCGCGACCAAUCUCAGCACCCCGGGCCCCGCCCCCGAAGCUCCGCCCAACACCCCCAAGACCCGCCCCUGGUCAGCCCCGCCCAUCAGAGGCUCCGCCCCCAGGCGGCCCUGCGCUUUAUGCCUGGCCUGAAGUUCCAGUUCAUCUAUAUCAAGACGCCCCGCUGGCCGCUCCCAUCACUUAACUUUGAACCAAAUUGCCUUAAAGCCCCGCCCGCUUCUUGUGCUUACUUUUUUUGGUAGAGAGGGAGCCUCCCUAUGUUGCCCAGGCUGGUGUCGAACUCCUAGACUCAAGCGAUCCACCUGCCUCGGUCUCCCAAAGUGCUGGGGUUACAAGCAUGAGCCACCGAUCCCAGCCUUGGUGCAUCUUUUUCCUACACCCUUGGAUCUCGGGCAGCCUUAUCGCGGCCUCCUCUCAACCCUCUCAUUCCCCAGGACCUGCCUUUCUUGGAGAAGGAGCUGCCUAGCGUCUCUCCGGAGGCCCCAUCACCGGGUUAGGCCCUGUG